UGCCCAAGAGAUCGGGAUAACACCUGGAAACAGAUGCUAAUACCGGAUAACAAUAGAUGAUGCCUAUCAACUGUUUAAAAGAUGGUUCUGCUAUCACUCUUGGAUGGACCUGCGGUGCAUUAGCUAGUUGGUAGGGUAACGACCUACCAAGGCGAUGAUGCAUAGCCGAGUUGAGAGACUGAUCGGCCACAUUGGGACUGAGACACGGCCCAAACUCCUACGGGAGGCACAGCC
Molecule: ribosomal RNA, 234 nt
Filed under: uncultured Lactobacillus sp.
Lineage: Bacteria; Bacillati; Bacillota; Bacilli; Lactobacillales; Lactobacillaceae
Description: partial 16S ribosomal RNA
Rfam family: Bacterial small subunit ribosomal RNA
Source: RNAcentral